This 474-nucleotide long non-coding RNA is filed under the name Capsicum annuum. Its description in RNAcentral is "long non-coding RNA (CANN_LNC010210)". Lineage: Eukaryota; Viridiplantae; Streptophyta; Magnoliopsida; Solanales; Solanaceae. The record is from RNAcentral.
UUUAACCACACCCCGAAAAUUUUUUAUCUGGCAGCUAACAAUCGUCCUUUGUCUAUUGUGCAGACCUUUUGGACUAAAAAAGCCAGAAUUCCUAGGAAUUUACAGGUUAAUCCAUCGUUGAUACUAAGAAAUUAAGAGGCUAACCAUAUACUAAGGGUAAGAAGGUUAUAGACAGUUUAAUUUACAUGGUUAUGCAAAAAAAAAUAUUUAAAACAUAUAUAAGAACAUGAAUAUAAAUAUUUUUGUGGGGAAAAUAUGGAAAUAAGAACUUACAUGAAGUAACUAGGAGAGAGGUUUCCCUUUCGGGAACCCCCUAAAGAUCGAAUAGAAAACUUGAAGCUUUUAUUUAAACCACGAUGUUACAAAGUUUAUACAAGAACGACUGGGUUAGACAAGUUUUUUGGGAGGAAAGGUUUAAACAUUUCAGGCGAGUUUUUAGGUUGGUUGAUUUUUCUCUCUGCCUUUCUACUACAA